This 425-nucleotide ribosomal RNA is filed under the name Brucella melitensis. RNAcentral's name for it is "partial 16S ribosomal RNA". It matches the Rfam family "Bacterial small subunit ribosomal RNA", at positions 355 to 777 of the family's 1533-position model. The record is from RNAcentral. RNAcentral also lists the same sequence under 1 other name. Lineage: Bacteria; Pseudomonadati; Pseudomonadota; Alphaproteobacteria; Hyphomicrobiales; Brucellaceae.
UGAGGAAUAUUGGUCAAUGGGCGAGAGCCUGAACCAGCCAAGUAGCGUGAAGGAUGACUGCCCUAUGGGUUGUAAACUUCUUUUAUAAAGGAAUAAAGUCGGGUAUGCAUACCCGUUUGCAUGUACUUUAUGAAUAAGGAUCGGCUAACUCCGUGCCAGCAGCCGCGGUAAUACGGAGGAUCCGAGCGUUAUCCGGAUUUAUUGGGUUUAAAGGGAGCGUAGAUGGAUGUUUAAGUCAGUUGUGAAAGUUUGCGGCUCAACCGUAAAAUUGCAGUUGAUACUGGAUAUCUUGAGUGCAGUUGAGGCAGGCGGAAUUCGUGGUGUAGCGGUGAAAUGCUUAGAUAUCACGAAGAACUCCGAUUGCGAAGGCAGCCUGCUAAGCUGCAACUGACAUUGAGGCUCGAAAGUGUGGGUAUCAAACAGGA